GAUGAACGCUGGCGGCGUGCCUAAUACAUGCAAGUCGAACGCGAGAGGAGGGAGCUUGCUCCCUCUGAUCGAGUGGCGGACGGGUGAGUAACACGUAGGCAACCUGCCCAUCAGUCCGGGAUAACCGCGGGAAACCGUGGCUAAUACCGGAUGAUCCUCUCCACCGCGGGGUGGGGAGUUGAAAGACGGUUUCGGCUGUCGCUGAUGGAUGGGCCUGCGGCGCAUUAGCUGGUUGGCGGGGUAACGGCCCACCAAGGCAACGAUGCGUAGCCGACCUGAGAGGGUGAUCGGCCACACUGGGACUGAGACACGGCCCAGACUCCUACGGGAGGCAGCAGUAGGGAAUCUUCCGCAAUGGACGCAAGUCUGACGGAGCAACGCCGCGUGAGUGAAGAAGGGUUUCGGCUCGUAAAACUCUGUUGUUAAGGAAGAACGACAGGUAGAGUAACUGCUACCUGUGUGACGGUACUUAACCAGAAGGCCACGGCUAACUACGUGCCAGCCGCCGCGGUAA
This 514-nucleotide ribosomal RNA is filed under the name uncultured bacterium. RNAcentral describes it as "partial 16S ribosomal RNA". It matches the Rfam family "Bacterial small subunit ribosomal RNA", at positions 28 to 523 of the family's 1533-position model. The record is from RNAcentral.